UACGAAGGGUGCAAGCGUUACUCGGAAUUACUGGGCGUAAAGGGUGCGUAGGUGGUUUGUUAAGUCUGCUGUGAAAUCCCCGGGCUCAACCUGGGAAUGGCAGUGGAUACUGGCAAGCUAGAGUGCGGUAGAGGGUAGUGGAAUUCCCGGUGUAGCAGUGAAAUGCGUAGAUAUCGGGAGGAACACCUGAGGUGAAGACGGGUUGCUGGGCCGACACUGACGCUGAUAGCGCGAAAGCCAGGGGAGCAAACGGG
RNAcentral lists this ribosomal RNA (254 nucleotides) under uncultured prokaryote. RNAcentral's name for it is "partial 16S ribosomal RNA". It matches the Rfam family "Bacterial small subunit ribosomal RNA", at positions 524 to 776 of the family's 1533-position model. The record is from RNAcentral.